Podarcis muralis (Common wall lizard) is the source of this 1549-nucleotide long non-coding RNA. NCBI's taxonomy places the organism in Eukaryota, Metazoa, Chordata, Lepidosauria, Squamata, Lacertidae. The record is from Ensembl.
UUUAUUCUCAAGGAAGAAAAGGCUUCUGAUGUUAGGUCCAGAGGUCUAGCAUUCGUUGCUCAUUGCCAGCAACCCACCCACAGCUGCCACAUUACAUAAUGCAGAUAUUCACACAAAACCAUUCUUUCAAAGCUCAAGUAAACAGAAGCCCAUGCUGGAAAAGCGAACAAAAAAGGCUCACAAAUCUAGCUGGAAGAAACUGCACAAUGAUGUUGUGGAUGAGGCAGCUGGCUUAGAAGGAUUACAUGAAUAGAUGGGAAGCAGUUCUGAGGGUAUAACUUGUGGAAGACAGCUAUCACAGCCAGUGCUUUUUUUCAUCUGGAUCGCGCCAGAGUUCAGUUCCAGCACCUCUCAGGUGAGGCGUUUACAUCUGAGGCGGCCAUUGCUCAUGCGCGGAUGACAGCUUCAUGAACAGGAAUCUGGCGAGACGGUGCUGCAGGGGCAGGGAAACUAAACAGAAAUCCUGGACAAGCUGAAGAGGUGAGAGCUGUGAGCUGCAUCGGGAGAACAGGUGGCUUUCCCCCCUUUGUGUUAUCUGCCAUCUGGGCAGGUUCACUCAAAAGAUUUGCCUCUGCUGGAGACGUGUGUGGGUCUCCUUCAUGUGGUUUGUUUCUCAUGGAGCAAAGGCGAAAAUUGGCACGACUGCUCCGCUCCACAAACACCUCCACUUUCUACCCGAGCGCCCAGCUUUCAUCUGCUCUGUCUGGGCUGCGACUUUGAUGUAGAGUUAAAGCAGCUCUGAAACAAUAUCUGGAGCACUUGUAGAAAGGCAUCCAAGGGUGAAAACACACUGCAGGAACAAGAGCUCAGCAUCACAGUUCGUGGAAACUGCUAAAAAGAAUCUCCAUGUUGUGUGCCUUCCUGUACUAAGUGGAUAGACCGGUUAGGAUAGAGAUGAUGGUUUAGAUUAAGGUGUGUGGGGUGGGGGACCAUGCAACUACUUCUACAUGCCCCAGGGAGCGUCAUAAGCAGUUUGCGAUUUGGCAUUACUGAGGUGUGUGUGUGUCUGCUGCUUAAGGAAAGAAAGUCAAAAUUCCGCAGGGCAUGCCAGAGACUGUGGUGUGUGCACCUAGAGUAGUCCUUUGAAUAGUGGCCAGUGUGUAAUUGUAUCAGAAAAGCAAAUGGGAUCGGGGCCAAACUGUUAUAAUGGCUUUCAGCUCAUGGUGUUUGUGGUUUUCCUAGAGAAUAAUCGUUACUAGAAAUUGGAGUGUGUAUGAAAUAUUCAUGCACACACUUGGAAGUGAGUUGAAUGAGGAGACACUGGCUCUUUUGCAGCAUGCACAUCCUGCUAGCUUUCACUUGUCCGUUCCUUGAAAUCAGGGGUCUAGUUUUGCUUCCCUAAACUAGAACUGAAAUGAAGGGUAUGUAGACAUGAGCGGUUUCAAACAUGGAGGUAGUAUCCCCCUCACCAUGUUUUACAUUGCAUUUGUACAGUGGUACCUCGGGUUACAUCCGCUUCAGGUUACAAAUGAUUCAGGUUACAGACUCAGCCAAUAGUACCAGAAAUAGUACCUCGGGUUAAGAACUUUGCUUCAGGAUGAGAACAGAA